AAGGGACAGGGAAGGGACACUGGGGACACACUGGGGACAGGGAAGGGACACAGGGGACAGCCAGGGGACACAGGGGACACACAGACUGUCCCCAAACGGUGCAGCUCCUCCAGGUAAGGGACACACUGGGGACACUGGGGACAGCCAGGGGACACAGGGGACACACAGAGCAGGGACUGUCCCCAAACGGCGCAGCUCCUCCAGGUUCAUCAAGCGUCGGAAGUUCGAUGACGAGCUGGUCGAGUCCAGCCUGGCCAAGCUCCCAGUUAAUCCCAGUUCCAUCCCAGUUAACUCCAGUCCAUCCCAGUCAAUCCCAGCUCACUCCCAGUCCCUCCCAGUGCCUCCCAGUGACUCCCAGUCUGUUCCAGGUUCAUCAAGCGUCGGAA
This 386-nucleotide long non-coding RNA is filed under the name Zonotrichia albicollis (white-throated sparrow). RNAcentral's name for it is "lncRNA (ENSZALG00000002192.1)". Lineage: Eukaryota; Metazoa; Chordata; Aves; Passeriformes; Passerellidae. The record is from RNAcentral.